RNAcentral lists this ribosomal RNA (301 nucleotides) under uncultured bacterium. RNAcentral describes it as "partial 16S ribosomal RNA". It matches the Rfam family "Bacterial small subunit ribosomal RNA", at positions 509 to 807 of the family's 1533-position model. The record is from RNAcentral.
CAGUAGCCGCGGUAAUACGAAGGGGGCUAGCGUUGUUCGGAUUUACUGGGCGUAAAGCGCACGUAGGCGGAUUCUUAAGUCAGAGGUGAAAUCCCAAGGCUCAACCUUGGAACUGCCUUUGAUACUGGGGAUCUCGAGUCCGGGAGAGGUGAGUGGAACUGCGAGUGUAGAGGUGAAAUUCGUAGGUAUUCGCAAGAACACCAGUGGCGAAGGCGGCUCACUGGCCCGGUACUGACGCUGAGGUGCGAAAGCGUGGGGAGCAAACAGGAUUAGAUACCCCGGUAGUCCCUGUCUCUUAUAC